Molecule: long non-coding RNA, 709 nt
Organism: Sus scrofa (pig)
Lineage: Eukaryota; Metazoa; Chordata; Mammalia; Artiodactyla; Suidae
Source: RefSeq, a predicted model, not a curated record
CCCAGCGCCCGGAGGAGGGCAGUCUGUUGCCAGAGAGCCGGCGCCCUGCUAGCCAGACCUAUAGGGUCAUCGGACUGACCCCAAAAUAAGCAAAGAAGGAACUGGGAAAGGAGGGGGAUAGAAAGUGAAAGGGGUCUUCGCCAGGUUGCUAGUCGCCACGGCAACGGCAAAAGGCUUUGUGCCCGACUGGAAAAGUCAAGUGCAGAGCCCCCAGGGCUCGGCUGGCAGCUGCUUGGGGGCGCGUCCUCGCUAGGCCGGGCCCGGCAGGGCCGUGACUCAGCCGGCCGAGACCUGGGCAACUGCAGCUCCGCAGACCACGGUGCAGCCGGGCCUCGGCUUCCGCUUUCCGGGUUUUGCUGAGAAGAUGGCUCCGCCCCCGCCCGGGGCCUUCCAGCCGAGCCUCCGCAGGGCUCCUGAACGAGGAGCUAGGGAGAUACACCGAGAUCUCGGCCCAGAGCAGCUGCUCAAGAUCACCGUUCAGGUCACUUGCUCGGAAAUGACUUUCCCAGACAUCGAUCUAAAGGAGGUCUUUGCAGAUCCGCUGGUUCCUGAGUGAUUAUACACAGUGCUGGCUGUCAGGAGACAGUCUCCUUGUUUAUUAACAAUGACCAGCUUAGAUGACAGAUGGCAUCUGCUGGAUGGCAAGUGGGAGAUGGGGAAAUCGGAUCUUGGAAGACAAGAAAAAAAUAAAAAGUUUUUGCUUUAACAA